RNA transcript from Salvia hispanica, 2036 nucleotides. It is a transcript of the gene named lipoyl synthase 2, mitochondrial-like, with no coding region annotated. The record is from RefSeq and is a predicted model, not a curated record. Lineage: Eukaryota; Viridiplantae; Streptophyta; Magnoliopsida; Lamiales; Lamiaceae.
AUAAGCUAUCUUUCCACAUUCAACCAGCCAACAGGGAAGAGAGAGAGGUGGAACAAAAUGAAUUCGAUCGCAAAUCGAGCCCUCAAAUCCAAAUCCACCAACUUCGCGCUCUCUCGAUUCACCCAAUUUCUGUCUACGAUUGCGGCUCCGCCAUCUCCGCCGCAAUCCGAUUUCCAAAAAUACCCACACACCCUCGAUGGCCUGCGCCGCAGGCUCGAUGACGAAUCGCCAUCUCUGGGCGACUUCAUCAAGCUUCAAUCCGACAACAGCUACUCGGUUGAGGUAGGCACGAAGAAGAAGCCGUUGCCAAAGCCUAAAUGGAUGAAGGAAUCGAUUCCCGGCGGUGACAAGUACACGCACAUUAAGAAGAAGUUGAGGGAAUUGAAAUUGCACACUGUUUGUGAGGAGGCCAAGUGCCCUAAUUUGGGCGAAUGCUGGUCUGGGGGCGAAACGGGGACGGCUACUGCCACGAUUAUGAUUCUCGGCGAUACUUGUACUCGUGGAUGCAGGUUUUGCAAUGUAAAGACAUCGCGCACUCCGCCUCCUCCUGACCCUAAUGAACCCCAAAAUGUGGCCGAGGCAAUAGCUUCGUGGGGUUUGGAAUAUGUGGUGAUUACUAGUGUUGACCGGGAUGAUUUGCCUGAUCAAGGAAGUGGCCAUUUUGCAGAGACAGUGCAAAAGUUGAAGAUUCUGAAGCCAUCAAUGCUUAUAGAAGCCUUGGUUCCUGAUUUCCGGGGAGACACAGGCUGUGUAGAGAAAGUCGCCACAUCAGGAUUGGAUGUAUUUGCUCACAACAUUGAAACUGUGGAGGAGAUCCAGAGUGCAGUUCGUGAUCACCGUGCGAACUUUAAGCAAUCUCUCGAUGUUCUGGUGAAGGCAAAACAGUAUGCUCCACCGGGUACUCUCACAAAAACUUCUGUAAUGUUAGGGUGCGGAGAAACACCCAACCAAGUAUUGACAACCAUGGAGAAAGUGAGGGCAGCUGGCGUCGAUGUCAUGACAUUUGGUCAGUACAUGAGACCAUCGAAGCGGCACAUGCCAGUAUCGGAGUACAUAACACCUGAUGCUUUUGAGAAGUAUCGACUCCUGGGCAUGGAAAUGGGAUUCCGAUACGUGGCAUCUGGCCCCAUGGUUAGGUCCUCAUACAAGGCCGGAGAAUUCUACAUCAAAUCCAUGAUAGAAUCUGAUCGAGCAGCUUCUUCCUAAUGCUGCUGGGACAUCUCUGAUGAUUGUUCUUGACCAGACUCACGCCUCAGUUUCAAGACUUGAUAAGUUUUUACUGUUUCGGGAAAGAUCUUAAGGGCCUUGACGCUUCCUCUAAUCCUGGAACAAGUCCAAGUUUGGCUGCUUUUUCUUGUAGCUUUCCCUCUCUAGACCGAAAUGGGCUGCUGUCUCAGCGCCGGAAACCAUAAUCAAGAGAUGGACAACCGCCGGUCCAUCAAUGGAGAGCCUCAGCCGCCUGUGUCUCCCCACAGAAUUCUCCAAGUAGAAACUGUUAAAGAGGUAUUGUUAGAGGCUACCGUUGCUCCUAAACCCCGACCCGAGAAGUUCAAACCAAUGUUGCAAGAAUGGAAGACAGAGGUCCGGAAGCCGCCUAGGAUCGCCGGAAAAGAUGGUUGCGAGAACACGGAGUGUGGCAAGAGUUUGUCGACCGUGGCGGCUAUAAAGCGGAGUGCAGCCAUCGUUGAUCAGCGGCCGCCACUGAGGAAACAGAGGGCGAACGGCGAGGGGAGGGCGGCUGCCAGGAGAUCAGUGGCGGUACCCCAGCCGGAGAAGAGGGGUCAGGUGGCUUUGAUGAGGCGGGUGAGAGGAGAGGAGGUGGCGCCGCCCCGGAAGGAGUGUGAUCGGAAGAGUCCGGCGGCAGGGGAAGCUGAGACGCUUGAAAAUCCUUUUGUUUCGUUAGAAUGCUUUAUAUUUUUAUGAGGGAGUUUUUCUAUUAAUCAUUUUUAUGCAUAAAAUUUGUUAGAAGAAUGAUAAUUCUAUAUACCAUAUGUGAGCAUUACGUUCGUUUAAUAUAUGCUUAGCAUUGUUCGUUU